RNAcentral lists this ribosomal RNA (253 nucleotides) under uncultured bacterium. RNAcentral describes it as "partial 16S ribosomal RNA". It matches the Rfam family "Bacterial small subunit ribosomal RNA", at positions 524 to 776 of the family's 1533-position model. The record is from RNAcentral.
UACGAAGGGGGCUAGCGUUGUUCGGAAUAACUGGGCGUAAAGCGCACGUAGGCGGAUUGUUAAGUGAGGGGUGAAAUCCCAGGGCUCAACCCUGGAACUGCCUUUCAUACUGGCAAUCUUGAGUUCGAGAGAGGUGAGUGGAAUUCCGAGUGUAGAGGUGAAAUUCGUAGAUAUUCGGAGGAACACCAGUGGCGAAGGCGGCUCACUGGCUCGAUACUGACGCUGAGGUGCGAAAGCGUGGGGAGCAAACAGG